AAAUGAAUAGACGGGGGCCCGCACAAGCGGUGGAGCAUGUGGUUUAAUUCGACGCAACGCGAAGAACCUUACCAGGGCUUGACAUCCCCUGCAAGUCGUAGAGAUACGAUGUUCUCAUUUGAGACAGGGAGACAGGUGGUGCAUGGUUGUCGUCAGCUCGUGUCGUGAGAUGUUGGGUUAAGUCCCGCAACGAGCGCAACCCCUGUACUUAGUUGCCAUCACUAAGGGUGGGCACUCUAAGUAGACUGCCGGUGACAAACCGGAGGAAGGUGGGGAUGACGUCAAAUCAUCAUGCCCCUUAUGUCCUGGGCUACACACGUGCUACAAUGGUUGGUACAGAGGGUGGCGAGGCUGUGAAGCUAAGCGAAUCCCAAAAAGCCGAUCACAGUUCGGAUUGUAGGCUGCAACUCGCCUACAUGAAGUCGGAAUCGCUAGUAAUCGCAGGUCAGCAUACUGCGGUGAAUACGUUCCCGGGCCUUGUACACACCGCCCGU
This 494-nucleotide ribosomal RNA is filed under the name uncultured bacterium. Its description in RNAcentral is "bacterial SSU rRNA". It matches the Rfam family "Bacterial small subunit ribosomal RNA", at positions 903 to 1397 of the family's 1533-position model. The record is from RNAcentral.